GAUGAACGCUGGCGGCGUGCCUAAUACAUGCAAGUCGAGCGAAAAGAUGAGGAGCUUGCUCCUCUGACGUUUGCGGCGGACGGGUGAGUAACACGUGGAUACCCUCCCUAUAAGACUGGGAUAUCUUCGGGAAACCGGAGCUAAUCCCGGAUAAUCUCUUGAACCGCAUGGUUCAAUAGUGAAAGACGGUUUUGCUGUCACUUAUAGAUGGAUCUACGCCGCAUUAGCUAGUUGGUAAGGUAACGGCUUACCAAGGCAACGAGGCGUAGCCGAGCGGAGAGAGGGAUCGGCCACACUGGAACGGAGACACGGUCCAGGCUACUGCGGGAGGCAGCAGUAGGGAAUCUGCCGCAAUAGGCGAAAGCCUUACGGAGCAACGCCGAGUGAGUUAUGAAGGUCCUCGGAUCGUAAUACUCGGUUAUUAGGGAAGAACAAAUGUGUAAGUAACUAUGCACGGCUUGACGGUACCGAAUCAGAAAGCCACGGCUAACUACGUG
RNAcentral lists this ribosomal RNA (497 nucleotides) under uncultured bacterium. RNAcentral describes it as "partial 16S ribosomal RNA". It matches the Rfam family "Bacterial small subunit ribosomal RNA", at positions 28 to 507 of the family's 1533-position model. The record is from RNAcentral.